UUUAUUGGAGAGUUUGAUCCUGGCUCAGGAUGAACGCUGGCGGCGUGCCUAAUACAUGCAAGUCGAGCGAAUGGAUUAAGAGCUUGCUCUUAUGAAGUUAGCGGCGGACGGGUGAGUAACACGUGGGUAACCUGCCCAUAAGACUGGGAUAACUCCGGGAAACCGGGGCUAAUACCGGAUAAUAUUUUGAACCGCAUGGUUCGAAAUUGAAAGGCGGCUUUGGCUG
Molecule: ribosomal RNA, 226 nt
Filed under: Bacillus anthracis (anthrax bacterium)
Lineage: Bacteria; Bacillati; Bacillota; Bacilli; Caryophanales; Bacillaceae
Description: partial 16S ribosomal RNA
Rfam family: Bacterial small subunit ribosomal RNA
Source: RNAcentral